Dipodomys ordii (Ord's kangaroo rat) is the source of this 65-nucleotide non-coding RNA. NCBI's taxonomy places the organism in Eukaryota, Metazoa, Chordata, Mammalia, Rodentia, Heteromyidae. The record is from Rfam.
GGUGGCUCAGUGGUAGAGCACUUGCCUUGCAUCCAUGAGGCCCUGGGUUCAAUUCCUCAGCACCA